GACGAACGCUGGCGGCGUGCCUAACACAUGCAAGUUGAGCGACGAACCAGGGCUUGCCCUGGGGCAAAGCAGCGAACGGGUGAGUAACACGUGGGUAACCUACCCCGAUAACCGGGACAACCCGAGGAAACUCGGGCUAAUACCGGAUAUGCUCACUGGACUUCGGUUCAGUGCGUAAAGGAAGCUUCGGCCUCCGUAUCGGGAGGGGCCCGCGGCCCAUUAGUUUGUUGGGGAGGUAACGGCUCACCAAGACCCCGAUGGGUAGCUGGUCUGAGAGGACGAUCAGCCACACUGGGGGUGAGACACGGGCCAGACUCCUAAGGGAGGCAGCAGGGGGGGAUAUUGGAGAAAGGCGGGAAGGCGGAGCCCAGCAACCCGCGGGGGUGAAAGAGGGCUUGGGGUUGUAAAGCCCCUUUGAGGGGGAAGAAAGGUUGGGGGUUAAAAAGCCGCCGUGCUGACGGGACCCACAGAAAGAGCCCCCGCUAACUUCGGG
This 493-nucleotide ribosomal RNA is filed under the name uncultured bacterium. Its description in RNAcentral is "partial 16S ribosomal RNA". It matches the Rfam family "Bacterial small subunit ribosomal RNA", at positions 28 to 507 of the family's 1533-position model. The record is from RNAcentral.